Molecule: transfer RNA, 82 nt
Filed under: Daphnia pulicaria
Lineage: Eukaryota; Metazoa; Arthropoda; Branchiopoda; Diplostraca; Daphniidae
Description: tRNA-Ser
Rfam family: tRNA
About the family: Transfer RNA (tRNA) molecules are approximately 80 nucleotides in length.
Source: RNAcentral
GCAGAUAUGGCCGAGUGGUUAAGGCGACUGACUCGAAAUCAGUUUCCAUCUUGAAGCGUAGGUUCGAAUCCUACUAUCUGCG